CCUACGGGAGGCAGCAGUGGGGAAUAUUGGACAAUGGGGGCAACCCUGAUCCAGCCAUGCCGCGUGUGUGAAGAAGGCCCUCGGGUUGUAAAGCACUUUCAGUGAGGAAGAACGCCUGGUGGUUAAGACCCAUCAGGAAAGACAUCACUCACAGAAGAAGCACCGGCUAACUCCGUGCCAGCAGCCGCGGUAAUACGGAGGGUGCGAGCGUUAAUCGGAAUUACUGGGCGUAAAGCGCGCGUAGGUGGCUUGAUAAGCCGGUUGUGAAAGCCCCGGGCUCAACCUGGGAACGGCAUCCGGAACUGUCAAGCUAGAGUGCAGGAGAGGAAGGUAGAAUUCCCGGUGUAGCGGUGAAAUGCGUAGAGAUCGGGAGGAAUACCAGUGGCGAAGGCGGCCUUCUGGACUGACACUGACACUGAGGUGCGAAAGCGUGGGUAGCAAACAGGAUUAGAUACCCGUGUAGUC
This 465-nucleotide ribosomal RNA is filed under the name Vreelandella stevensii. RNAcentral describes it as "partial 16S ribosomal RNA". It matches the Rfam family "Bacterial small subunit ribosomal RNA", at positions 338 to 795 of the family's 1533-position model. Lineage: Bacteria; Pseudomonadati; Pseudomonadota; Gammaproteobacteria; Oceanospirillales; Halomonadaceae. The record is from RNAcentral.